CUUAUCAGACUCCUUGCUUUUUUGUUUAUGAAAACUCUGGGAAGACUAUGAACAUCGUGAGGAAAGAAUAUCUCCGCAUAGAAAUCCAAAAAGCCCCAUAAGCGAAGCAUUUCCAAAUUUCUGAGUAUACGAGCACAAGCAUUGCAGGUGAUCCUGAACCAUGUGGCAAAACCUGUUUGCGACGUCUACAUUAAACUCCUAAAAACAAUGCCCGUAUUGUAGGAUUCUCACAGAACAACCUUGAAAUAACCAAGAAGUAUGGCAGACUUCCAUAACGAGCGGAGAUAUAGAGCUCAUGGUUCAGAUUGAUGCCUUGCAUUGGACCUUCGGAAACCCUGAAAUAAAAUUAGAAAAGGAAUCUUGUGACUUAUUGCUCUUUUCUUAAUUUAUUCAUAUUUGUCCAGCCAAUCAAAGUGGUAACAAGUUAGAAACCUUGAUUCUAAGUUCCAAAUGUAGAAUAUCAAAGCUCAUAAGAAUUAGAAACAAAGAGAAGAUUUCAGAGAGUUUUACCUUCACUGGUUUUCUCCAACUCCCAUUAUUUCCAUGUCAAAUGGGGAAAAAUCGUGUUUAAUCCUUUCUUCUCAUCGCUAUUGAAUGUCGAUGUCAACUCGAGCUCAACCCUUUUCCAUACCUCAUCUAGAAAAGACGGUCCUGAUUCAAAGAUGAAGAAAUAAUGAUUUAUAAAGUGAUCUUAAUUACUUGUGCAAGUUUGACAAUCUGGACCUUUUCCUUUUGUUAUGAUUCACGCAUAUAAUCCAUCGAUAAUGAUCAUGAAACAAGAAAAGAAAAGGAAACGUAAGUUACACUCCAGUAUUCAACAACUUACGAUGGAAUCUGUAAGAGUGCAGCAGCCAGCCAAAUUCACACGUUGUUUUUGUGCAGAAACAUAUCGGCACCUAUGUAAAGAUGACAGAUGCAAUGAAAGAUGAGUAAGCAUUCCACCGUAUUCAAACCACAACAGUAAGAGGAAAAAAAAACAUCAUCAAGGAGUUACCUCGUCCUGUGCAGGAGAAUCAUAUUGGUGUCAUAGCUAGCCAGAGCACCCAAUAACUUACUUGGUAUUGUACGAAGUAAUUUAUGUAAGCAAACACUUGUUGCUAUUGGAUGAUAUUGUCCUGAAAUUUAAUUGAUUGAUUAAUUAAACACAGUAUAGCUGACAGUAAACAAUUGAAGUGAAACUUUUACAGAAUCUGAAUCUCGUGUGUACGUACCUGACAUUGACUUGAGAUCUCAAUUGAUGAUGACUUGCUUGCCUAUCUUGAUGCAAGGAAUGUGAGCUAUCUUGCUCCACUCUUCUCCCGUCUUCUCCUGACACCUCUUCAUCAGAGAAGGACAGUUGUAGAUGCGCAAACAAGAGAGCGAUGCCAGCAAAUCCUCUUUUGGCAGGAAUUUGAGACUAUCACACUCGUAAAUUUGGAGCUCUUGAAGAGAAGUGAGGUGUUGAAUUCCCUUUCCCUCCAAAGAUUUCAGACUCGUAAAUUUGGAUGAUAGCGUCCUGAAAUUUAAACAAGUAUGUUUUUUAAUGGUGGUAUAGUUGAGUUAAACAGUUGAAAAGUUAAAACUGAUUGAUUAAUUAAACACUAUAUAUAGAUGACAGCAAACAAUUGAAGUGAAACUUUUACAUGAUCUGAAUCUUGUAUGUUAUUCUAUGAAAAAUGGUGCUAUGUACGUACCUGACUUUGAGUUGAGAUCUCAAAUGAUGACUUGGUCGCCUAUCUCGAUGCAAGGAAUGUGAGCUAUCUUGCUCCACUCUUCUCCUGUCUUCUCCUCACACCCGUAAUACAUGUGUUACACGCGAGAUAUUGACAAAACCCUCAUUAAUUAUUUCCUCACUAACAAGGCGAUAAUUUUGCCAGGAUCAUACAUCCAAGAAUAUGACAACCUGAGUACAAACGAUUUGAUUAUUUUUGCAUCCCAAAUACCACAUAUCCUAUGAUUUCAUCCAAAAACAGUUCAGAAUAUUCAUCUAAAGAACUUAGUUAUGAACAGAGGAGAUCCACAUGAUUUUACGAUGAAGUACAAUUUGACAAAAUAAUUCAUGAUUUACAUAAGAGUAAACGUGUUACCAGUACCACUGCAGCACUUGAAAGUUAAAGUAUCACAAGCAGAUAAUAGGGGCCUUACUAGCUCCGCUUUUUUCCAUGUGCCGGUUGACUCUUCCAACCAUCCAAUAUUCCGGCCUUCCAAUCCAUUGAUGAUGUGGUCGAAUCAACUAGUAUAUAAAAGUAUGGCAUUAAAUAUGAAAAUGCAGAAUGUGGCAGGGCUUAUAUCUCUGGUUUUAUUAAUCUUGUUAUAUACAGGUAGAAAACACUGGAUAUCUGGCAAAACAUUUCCAGGAUGAAGUUCACAUAAAGUCCGUUUUUUCCCAGUUUGCAUGAAAUUCCUACUAAGUAGGUUUGUUCUGCUAUAAGCAAUAAUGUACAUGAUCACACAACUGAGGUUCAGAGUUGUUACCAAGAAAAUUUCUAACAUACGACGGCCUACUCCAACCAUCCUCUAUCAAAAUUAGGUUAAGGCGUAUCAUCAAUUUCUCUGUGGCAUCUUCCACCAAAACAGCUAAUCAAUCAGACAGUCGCCUCCGUAGGGGACGAUCCUGAAGAAUCCAAAUAAAGGUACUUUAUUAGAUUUGGUAUCAAAGUCGGAUGUCAUCUUACAUAUAGAAAUUAGGAAACUUACCUUUUUGUCCUGCUACAACUUUAGAUAUUCAAGUGAUUGCUAAUAAAGUCCACAAUGGUAGAAAAGAAUGAUGUAAUGUCUUAAUUCCUUCGGAUCAGCUUCUGGGAGAAUAAGAUGUUCACAAGCUGUGACAAAGAAGCCUUAGCAGAUGCAAGCUGAACGCCAGUGGAAAAAUACCAAGUAUCCUUAUAUAUGUGCACUUAAGUUGGAUUAGUUUUAAGUAGAAACUACAUUCACUUCGGACAAAGUACCAGUCUUCUUUAUACUUGAUCUAUCAAUAAAGUUAGCAGCACGUGCUGCCUUCAAGAACAAAUUCCCUGGUUGAUCAUGCUGAAAUGGGCCAGAAUGCGCCCUUCAAAUUUUUUUAGAUCUGUACAAACAGUAGACUAUGAGACCAGAUGUAGCUUAAGGUUAAAGCCUUGUACACGUCCGAAGAUCAAUUAUGCAUGUAAAUAAAAUUAUAUAAAGACAAUGUCACACACAAACAAAUGUACACAAAGAUAUAUUUAAUCUUUACCUUGACUCACUUUGAGCACAAAACCCAUGCUUACAACUGCUCAAUUGAAAUCUCAUGGUUGACAUCCUAGCGCAGAGACCUUUAUAAAUACUUUGCUUAUGUUGUAAUGAUCAUGUAGUUCAUUUCAAAUAUCUAUAUCUAAGGUUUUGUAGUUGAUUUCUAACUAAUUUAUCCUAAAUUCUUUAAUACUUUCAAAUCCCUCAUCCAAACGCAGGGUGAGAGAAGUAGGAGUUUUAGCAUACACAACUCAUUGACAUAGGACAAUGCAAAUCAAGGCGAAAAAAAACAGAUCUGUCGACAUGAUAACACAAGUCACCUCACCUCCACUAAAACGGCUUGCGAAGUCAUUAUGUGUGCAUUAUCAGAUUACUUGCUUUUAACCUCUGGGAAGACUAUGAAGAUCAUGACGAAGCAUUUUCAAAAUUUGAGUAUAUGAGCACAAGCAUUGCAGGUGAUCCUGAGCGAUGUGUCAGAACCAGUUUGCAACGUCUACAUUAAACUCCUGAAAACAAUGCCCAUAUUGUAGGGUUCUCACAGAACAACCUUGAGACAACAAACAAGUAAGGCAGACUUCCGUACUGAGUGGAGAGAUAGAGCUCAUGGUUCAGAGUGAUGCCUUGCAUUGGUCCUUCAGAAACCCUGAAAUAAAAUUAAAAAAGGAACCUUGUGACUUAUUGCUCUUUUCUUAAUUUAUUCAUAUUUGUCCAGCCAAUCAAAGUGGUAACAAGUUAGAAACCUUGAUUCUAAGUUCCAAAUGUAGAAUAUCAAAGCUCAUAAGAAUUAGAAACAAAGAGAAGAUUUCAGAGAGUUUUACCUUCACUGGUUUUCUCCAACUCCCAUUAUUUCCAUGUCAAAUGGGGAAAAAUCGUGUUUAAUCCUUUCUUCUCAUCGCUAUUGAAUGUCAAUGUCAACUCGAGCUCAACCCUUUUCCAUACCUCACCUAGAGAAGACGGUCCUGAUUCAAAGAAGAAGAAAUAAUGAUUUAUAAAGUGAUCUUAAUUACUUGUGCAAGUUUGACAAUCUGGACCUUUUCCUUUUGUUAUGAUUCACGCAUAUAAUCCAUUGAUAAUGAUCAUGAAACAAGAAAAGAAAAGGAAACGUAAGUUACACUCCAGUAUUCAACGACUUACGAUGGAAUCUGUAAAAGUGCAGCAGCCAGCCAAAUUCACACGUUGUUUUUGUGCAGAAACAUAUCGGCACCUAUGUAAAGAUGACAGAUGCAAUGAAAGAUGAGUAAGCAUUCCACCGUAUUCAAACCACAACAGUAAGAGGGAAAAAAAACAUCAUCAAGGAGUUACACAACUCACUGACAUAGGACAAUACAAAUUAAGGCAAAACAAACAGUGUCAAAAUCCAAAAUGCCUUACUUCUUUGAGUCAUUAUGUUUGCAUUAUGCCCUUAUCAGACUCCUUGCUUUUUUGUUUAUGAAAACUCUGGGAAGACUAUGAAGAUCGUGAUUCGUGAGGAAAGAAUAUCUCUGCAUAGAAAUCCAAAAGGCCCCAUAAGCGAAGCAUUUCCAAAUUUCUGAGUAUACGAGCACAAGCAUUGCAGGUGAUCCUGAACCAUGUGGCAAAACCUGUUUGCGACGUCUACAUUAAACUCCUAAAAACAAUGCCCGUAUUGUAGGAUUCUCACAGAACAACCUUGAAAUAACCAAGAAGUAUGGCAGACUUCCAUCAUGAGCGGAGAUAUAGAGCUCAUGGUUCAGAUUGAUGCCUUGCAUUGGUCCUUCGGAAACCCUGAAAUAAAAUUAGAAAAGGAAUCUUGUGACUUAUUGCUCUUUUCUUAAUUUAUUCAUAUUUGUCCAGCCAAUCAAAGUGGGAACAAGUUAGAAACCUUGAUUCUAAGUUCCAAAUGUAGAAUAUCAAAGCUCAUAAGAAUUAGAAACAAAGAGAAGAUUUCAGAGAGUUUUACCUUCACUGGUUUUCUCCAACUCCCAUUAUUUCCAUGUCAAAUGGGGAAAAAUCGUGUUUAAUCCUUUCUUCUCAUCACUAUCGAAUGUCGAUGUCAACUCGAGCUCAACCCUUUUCCAUACCUCAUCUAGAAAAGAUGGUCCUGAUUCAAAGAUGAAAAAAAUAAUGAUUCAUAAAGUGAUCUUAAUUACUUGUGCAAGUUUGAUCAUGAAGCAUUCCACCGUAUUCAAACCACAACAGUAAGAGGAAAAAAAAAACAUCAUCAAGGAGUUACCUCGUCCUGUGCAGGAGAAUCAUAUUGGUGUCAUAGCUAGCCAGAGCACCCAAUAACUUACUUGGUAUUGUAAGCAAACACUUGUUGCUCUUGGAUGAUAUUGUCCUGAAAUUUAAUUGAUUGAUUAAUUAAACACAGUAUAGCUGACAGUAAACAAUUGAAGUGAAACUUUUACAGAAUCUGAAUCUCGUAUGUACGUACCUGACUUUGAUUUGAGAUCUCAAAUGAUGACUUGGUCGCCUAUCUCGAUGCAAGGAAUGUGAGCUAUCUUGCUCCACUCUUCUCCCGUCUUCUCCUGACACCUCUUCUCCAGAGAAGAAGAGUGCCAGAUUCUCAGACAACGGAGCGAUUCCGGCAAACCCUCUUUUGGCAGGAAUUUGAGACUAUCACACUCGUAAAUUUGGAGCUCUUGAAGAGAAGUGAGGUGUUGAAUUCCCUUUCCCUCCAAAGAUUUCAGACUUUUCAUUCCAGAGAUUUGGAGAGUGUGAAGAGUGGUAGGGAGCAGCUGUUCCUCGAGCACCGCCACCAACACAUCCUCGCUUCUCCAGAUCGUAAAUGUUCGAAGGGAGACAAGUCGUUGCAAACCCCAGUACUCCACUGAAGGCCUCAGUUUCUCACAACCGCUGAUUCCAAAUGAUUGUAGGUUGGGAGGCAAACCUCCUUCUGCAAAUGACUCAACAUUUGGACCAUCAGAUAUCCACAAAUCUCGAAGGGCGGUGAGGGUGUGUAUUCGAUCGGGCAAUAACUUCAAAUUCUUGCAAUUACCGACUGUAAAACUAGCCAGGUUGGGAGUGGGCAACCUUCUCCAAUGGAAAGAGACCAGAUUUGGACAAGAAUAGAUACAGAGAGCACCGAGAUGAGUGAGAUUUUCAACAUCAGCUCCUUCUCCAAUGGAAAGGGAUUCUAGAUUUUCAAUGCCGUAGAAUUGAAGAGAUGAAAGUUUGGGGAAAACGCCCAGCGGGAAGGACCUCAGUGAAUCACAGCUGCCGGUCAAAUCCAAAUGUUGAAGGGAUGUCAAUUUGGCCAUCAUCUCAUGAGAUAGGAAUUCUAAUCUCCUGCAAUUAAUUAUCUCAAGAAAUGUCAAUGUAGUGGGUAGACCAUUUCUAGGGAACGACAAGAGGGACCCGCAAUCACGGAGAGUCAAUUUUUGAAGACGACUGCUCAGGUGCGGCUGCAAGCAAUCUGUGCGACUCAAAAUUUGAAUAUCAAGCCCGGAAAGCGAGGACAGCGACUCCGUCUCUAGUAACGACGAGAGACCAGGGCAUCCUCUUAUUCGCAGAUCCUGAAGAGAUUGUCGCAAGGACUCCGUCUCUAGUAUCCAUCUACUUCUAGUAGCCCUUUCAUGCAGAACCCCACAAUCCAACACUUCAAGCUUUUUCAAGCAAGGAAGAUGAUCGGGCAAGUUUCCCCUCAGCUUCGGACAAUUCUCUAAAACCAGCUCCUCGAGACGAGGAAAGUCCGGACAUUGACCUCUACCUGGACUUCGCAGCCAUUCUUCCCAUUCUGGCAUAUCUCCAAAUACCAGCUUCUCUAAAGAACGAAAUGGCUGAAUUAGAGAAGUUCCAUUGACACCAUAAAACUCAGCACCAAUACCCAUAACACAUUUCAUGUUGCUAAUAUAGAGCUCCUUAAGAGCAGGCAACUGCCCAACUGGUGGCAACGACCAACAAUUACUAAAACCACAAAGGCACAUGACUUUUAUGUUGGAGAAGGAAGAGUCUCCCAACCAAUUCGGAAAGCUUGUUCCACCAUAACAUCUAAUGGCCAGUUCCACCAAAUUUACAGAAGGUUGUAAUCUUUCAAGUACAUUUCUCUCUUUUAUGGAAUCAUCUGCAUCCUCUCUACCCCAUGCCAACUCUAUUUGAUUGAGAUCUUUCUUAUCCUUCAAAUUGGCCCGCAAGACAUCCAUAGCAUCGACUACAUUCUCUAGAUUCAAGAUAGAAAAUUUCCCUCCAAGAUUGGGUAACUCCCCCAAUUCCCCAAUGCCGCCAGACCUAGUAGAUGUCCCCAACACAUAAGCAGUGAGUGUUCUCAAACUUUUUAGUCUGCCCAUUCGCACCGGCAUCUCUUUUAUACCAGUAUAUCCAAUAUCAAGAUGGCGCAGAUUAAUCAGUUUCCUCAUGUCUACAGGCAAUUCAACAAGAGAGGUACAACCUACCAACAAUAAAGUUUGCAAAUUGUAGAGACUACUCACGGUAUCUGGUAACCUUUCAAUUGCAGUGUAAGAGAGGUCAAUGUAGCGCAAAUGUAUGUGGUUACCAAUGCAAUCAGGUAAGCUACUGAUGUUCUUAUAUCCUGCCAAUGAUACUGCCCGUGAACAUUUUAGCGUUGGCAACAAAUCAUUUGGAACCUUACUACUUACAUAGUAAUGCCCAUAUUCGUACCUUAAAGACAUGGGUAAGAAGGUGCGCAAAUAUUUAACUCCAUUUAAUGGUUGAAACUUUUUAGCGUCAUUAAAUCUUCCUUUCGCAUAUGACAAAUGUCGAACUCUUUUAGGAACUUCAUGAUCCUUCCUCAUCCAUCCUAAAACAAAAUUCUCUAGACACGAACAAAGCCAAGUCAUUAAUGAGAUCAUGCAUUGUGAAUCCAUGCUCCUCAGUUCUUGAUCUUUGAAUUAGUGAUCGUGAUACUAAUUCAUUAAAAUAGUUCUUGCCAACCUCCUCCAUUAUUUCCUUGCCCUGCGCUUGUGAAAUUAAACCCGCUGCCAUCCAAAGUCGAACUAAAUUAUCCUUCUCAAAUUCAUAGUCCUUGGGAAAAAUUGAGCAAUAAGCAAAACAUUGUUUUAAAUAAGUAGGGAGGUAAUGAAAACUCAAUCUUAAAGAUGGAAGAAUACUAAUCUCUUGUUGUAGUUCCCAAAGAUUGCUAUUCAAUAAAUGAUUCCAUUUCUUGUGGUUCAUGUUGCAACUUAAGAGACCUCCAAGUGUUUUCGCAGCUAAAGGGAGACCAUUGCACUUACGUGCAAUUUUUUUUUCCAAUUUCUUCCAAGUCUGGAUGUGCACUAGGGUUUUCAUUUCUAAACGCAUGUUUUGCAAGUAACAACCAACAAUCAUCAUGCGACAAUUGUUCUAAAGAUUGAAUAGGAACAGUGUGCACGAUGGAUGCAACACUUUCGUUCCUUGUUGUCACAAUGACCUUACUUCCCCUCGCCCCAUAAGUGAAAGGAGCUUUUAGAACACUCCAAUCGUUAUAAUUGUCAUUCCAAAGGUCAUCCAACACAAAUAGAUAUCUCUUUCCCAUUACAUGUUCCCUAAGAUCAACUUGAAGCAAGCUCAUAUCUGACUUAUCACAGGGUUUUGAAGCAAUUGACUGAAAAAGGGUUUUAGUGACCCUAAAAGCAUCAAAAUCUUCGGAGACACACGCCCAAGCUCGAACAUCGAAAUGCUCUUUCACACUGUCAUUAUUGUAAAGGAGCUGAGCAAGGGUUGUCUUACCAACUCCUCCCAUUCCCACUAUCGGGAUUACAGAUAUAUUGCCGCCGCUUGCAUCAUCAGAUAGCAGCAGUGUUUUCAACUUCGCUUCAUCUUCAUCCCUACCGUAAGUAGAGAAUUCAUGCUCAACGAAGGAAGUUGUGGGAGUUCUUUGUGAAACCUUAACCCCGACACCUUCUCUAAGACCGAGCACAUCUGUCUGUUGUGCAAGGUGUUCCAACCUUUGAAAUAAGGUUUGUAUCCUACCAUUCAUGCCUUGAUAAAAAGGAUUAAGAGAAGUAGAGAGGAAGUUCCACACCUGGGUUUUCUUAGUUGAAAAUUCAGCUUCCACCUUGCUUCGCAAAACUUCAGUAUCGAUCUCGUCCAGCAGGUCCUCGGCAUCGAAGACAGCAUGUUUGAGCUCGUCAAGCCACUUUCCCACACGGUGUUUCUCCAUCUGCUUCUCCUCUGCAUCAUCAAGCACUGCAUCAAGGGCCAGAAACCUCAGCUUCAGUUUCUCCAGGAGUGAAUGAUCAAGUUUUUUUCCCCGGAAGAAGUCCAUCAACUCCCCAGAACCGAUCUUGUCGCACAACGUCCGAAUGGAAGCAGAGAGGAAUGCCUCUCCAAUCAAAGCUCCUGCCAUCUCUCUCUGUUUUUUUUUUUUUUGGAACAAAGUAUAAAUUUCAAAGAAGUGUUCCGGUGAGGAACUAUAAGAGCUUUUAUGGUUUAUUGUAAUCUCAAUUUUGUUUCAGAAAGAGAUGUCUUGAUUUAUUUUAGGUCAAUAAUGCAGGGGGCCUCACACGUUCCUAAAAAAAAGUUGUUUCAUUAAUCAUUGUUUUUUAUAUAAUUUAAUAGGUUGUCUUGUUUUGUUUUGGGAAAGGUAGUUUCCUAGUAGUUGGUGUGGAAAUUCUGGGUUGGGUGACUUUUGUUUUAUUCUUCUUGUAUGUGUUUUUCAUAGAUUCUUUCCAGGAUAUUCCACCAAAUAUGAAAUCUUUGAAGAUGUCAAACUCUUUCGUGUAUUACUUUGUGGAGAAUUAGGUACUUCUGUGAGUGACAAAUUUUUAUUAGAUAAUGUCAGGAAUGCUAAAUUUAUAAACAAAAUUUUAAAAACUAAAUGACAUUGAAAUUGAUGAUUAGAUCAUUACUUAAACGUUGAUAAACGUGCUCAUUUGACAUAUCAUUUAGUUUAUAAAUUUUAUCUAUAAAUUUUGUCUCUCUAACAUUACCUUUUUUUUACUGCUGCUCCUUUAGACACUACAAUGUUUUCGUAUGGACUUCUUUUUCUAGCUCGCAUAGGUUCAACAUUUAAGGCUGCUGAGUUAAUCAUCACUCAGACUCGUGUUGAUUUCUUUGAAUAUACUGUGGCAUUUUCCUCUGCUUUAGAACCAUUAAACAGUUUAUGAUGGCAAAGUGUCUCUGUAAACUAAAACAAAGAACUAGGUUCGUAAUCAUAUACUCAAUCCAUUAUGUCUUCUCACUACUCGAGCUCAAAAUUAAUAGUUAAUUUAUGUGCCUUGGGAUGUUAAUUCAUAUUUGAGUCGAUACUAGAAGUCGUGUUCGUGUAUGAUUUUUCAUUUAAUUGGAUUUAUUUUUGCUUACCACUUUUAAGUUGUGAAGAGGUUAGAAUGUCCGGAAUACGAAGCAGAACACCAUAUGUUAUUAUACAAUUAAAAGUAAUUUUUUAAGUAUUUCUUCAAUUAUGUGAUGACGUAUGAUGUUCUUCCAAUUAAAUAAAUAAAAUAGAUAGAAAUAAAAAUUCUUGCAUGGUCUCCGUAGUCUAAUCAAAUAAGUAAAGAAAAGGCAAACGGGAACCAGUAGCAGGAAGGAGGAAGCUAACAAUUGACAUUAAUUAAUCCAUAUUUCUUCUGCAAAAUGCUCUGCUACUCUACUUUAAGGUCAGCUAUGAGUCCCUCAUUUUGGUCGUUGACGUAGUGUGCAUUAUGCGCAUACCUCACUAUGCAGUUUGUAAUAUUGCCACCGAUUUUCCAAUUCAACCUACCAACGAAGCAGCUUCCUACUUACUACCUUUCCAAUGUGAAUGUGAUAAAAUAGAAGGAUUAAAGUUGAAACGAAAUUUUAUCUCUCUUUCAUUGCAACUCUAUUUGGUUAGACAAUAUGUUUUUUUGUUAUUGAUGCGUUACUUUUUUGUAUACUAAAUGUAUUCAUAAAUCUCAUGAUCUAGAUGGGCCAAAUCAUCGUCACAUCAUAUUAUUAUUAGUUAGGAACAAUUUAGCUAUAAAUAUUCACCUUUUUUUUCGGUUACAUAAUAAAAUGAUUCUCUUGGACACAUCACUUUUCUUUCUCUUUUUCUUUUUUUGUGAGAAAAAUAAAAACAAGCACAUCACGUAAAGUGUACGGAUGAAACACAAUUCCUUUUACAUAAAAACUUAUUAAUUAGCUCUACAAAUCUGCACGAAAUCAAAUUAACCACUAGUAUGCCAUCAAAUGUACAUGUUUGGAUUUUUAUUUUUAUACAACAACAUAUAUACACUAUAAAUUGACACCCAAAAAAACCCAUAAAACACCAUAAAAGAAUGUGAAGCACAUAAAAAAAUGCUUUUCUCUCUGGAUCAGGAUCCUCUCCUGAGCAAAUGGAGAUGAUCCUCCUGACCGUGUACAUCGGACCGUUCAAAUGUUAUCCAACGGUUACAAUUAUUAUAACUUUUAGUGAAGCCCCCUGUUUGUAGCCGUUGGAUAAAUUUUGAACGGCCCGAUGGGCCCGGUCAGGAGGAUCCUCUCCAUUUGCUCAGGAGAGGAUCCUGAUCCUUUCUCUCUACCUACAAAGUAGUUUCCUAAAUACUAACUAUUUUUCGUUGUGAUCGGAAUACGGUUGGUACAUCAUGUGUUUUUAUAUAAGUGGCAGAAAAUUUGAUUUUUUAAGUUAUUAAAUUUUUAACACACAUAUCUCAUUAUUUAUAUAGUGACACGUGAUGUACUACCCCAUGUACCGAUCACACUGAAAAAUCUCUUGUGAAUGUGGUCAAGUUGAAAGAUAGGGGCCUUCUUGGGAACUACAUUUCAAAAGUGGAUAUUAAUUUAAGGGUAAUGUUAGGAAAGUUAAAUUUGUAAAGUAAAUUACAUGAAAGUUAAUGAUUAUAUUAUUACAUGAAUGUUGAUUAACGUGUUUAUUUUUUAAUGAUGACACAUUAAUUACUUUACAAAUUUAAUCUCUUCACAUGACUUUUAAUUUAAAGGAGAUGAAGUUUCAUUGCAAGCUGCUACUUACUACUUUCGAUGUAAUAGCCACAACCGAUUGAAAAAUAUUGUUUGUUGGCACGCGAUCUUUAAUUUAACAAAGAAUUUGUCUUAUUAAUUUGUUUUGUUUUACUUUUUGGAACUUUUUGUUUCUCUUACCAGUGACCAACUCAUUAUGAUUUGUCUGUAUUUUUUUAAGUUGAAACAUCUCAUAUAUAAGUUGAACAAAGUUUAUUUUCCAAUGCAUUUGAAAAUUUGUUUACUUUUUUAGGUGUAACUUUAUGAUAGCAGGGGAGGCUGAGUGGGUUGGGCAGAUAGGGUUGUGGACCGACCAACCCUAGCCUAUAAUAUAGGUCAAGUGUAGAUUUGUAGGGCUCUAGGCAUUAGGUGGUAGGUAGCUUAGGCAGAGAUUGACCGUUUGCCUGGAUUGAUUAAUUAAACCUAUUUACGCAAACCCUAAACGCCAAACCACAAAUCCAACUUUCAAGUAUGAAUCAUGUCAAAUGUCCCAACAGAGCUGCCCUUCGACAUUUUCCUCCAUCCCAAGGAUUUGGUAACACGCCACACCAGGAUCCUCUCCUAUAAAAAAACUAAGUCUGCUGAGCAGGCGAUCGUGGUCAUUGAAAUUUAAUCUAACAGCUAUAAUUAUUAUAAUUUUAGAGGAUCUAUCUGUUUGUAACCAUUAGAUUAAAUUUCAACCACCACGAUCACCUACUUAGUAGACUUAGUUUUUUAAGAUCAUGAGAGGAUCCCGAUCCAUAAAAAAUCACAGCUUACACCCAAUUUUUUUUUUAAUUUUUGUUUUUAAGUUUUCUUUAGCGUCCAACCAAAUUGAGCACGGACCUGAACCCAAUAAUUUAAAAGAAAAACUAAUGAAAAACGUUUGAAAAUUUUGAGUUUUAACGAUAAGAACAAAAUAAAGGGUAAAAUGAAUAAUACCAGGAUUGACUUUUUAGUGCAAAAAUAUGAUUUUUCGUUAAAGUGAACAGUACCAUGAACUUUUCGUUAAAGUUGCCUAAUUUAACGGCAGCCCGUGGAUGACACUUGCACAAUACCGUAGUGCAAUAAGCAACAUUUUUUACGUAGCAUAUAUCAACAUUUAUGAACAGACAUCAAGACGUAGUAACAUAAAAACAAGGCUCAUACCAAAAUGUCUUCGGAAAUUAUAAUAAUAGACAUCAAAAUGUAUUAACUUAAAAACAAAGAAAUAAUAUUCGCACACGAAUUUUCUCUUUCUGAACACACAUUAUUAUGUUCCUUGAUUGAUUAUCUUUUGACUGUUUCAAUCCAAAUGUAAAAAACAAACCGGGACCGCGUGCGGGAAGAUUAAGGGUGUGCAAGAAUCACUUCCCCAGACUUAUGAUCCAACUAUUCAGAAGUUGGCUUUGUCCUCCGAUUCGGCAGUGCCACACAGAGAGAAAUCCUAAGUAGGAAACGACUUCCAUAUAGGAGUUUUAUGCAUAAACUGGGGCAGCCUUAUACUGGUAACUUGGAUGUAAACCUACUUUGUCAUCUGAUGGCUAAAAACUCUAAUUAGUUUCAGGACAUGGCUCCAUGUUUUCUUCAAUGCUUUCGCAGGGUCUAGGAAACCUGCAUGUUUUAUUCAUUGCUUUCAAGAGUCUGGGGGACCUGCAAGUUCUCUUCAUUGUUCGCAACCAAGUUCUGGAGGGCCUCUGGCUCCUCGCCGGUUCUUGCCUGCAAGCUAAGCAAACGAUUAAUGCAUGAACAACCAGUUUCCAGAAUGCAUGGCCAUAAGGCUGUAUUUUAACAGCCUCACAUAUUUCCUGGCAAUGACAUAAGUCAAAAUUUUCUUUUUGGGAGUGAAAUUCACUUAAAGUGCCACUUUUCCCAGUAUAUUUAAUGAACCUCCUACUGAUUAGGACUAUCAUGGUUCAGAGUUGUUACCAAGAAAAUUUCUAUCAUAUGACGGCCUGCGCCAACCCUCCUCAACCAAAAGUAAGCUACGCUGUAUCAUUAAUUUCUCCACGGCAUCUUCCUCUAGAACAGUUAAUGAAUCGGAUGGUUGCCUCCGUGAUGGUUGACCCUGCAGUAUAAGAUAAUAAUAAUCUAGGGUAAUUCAACCACAAAUACAGUAACAAUUUGUUACUCGCUCAAAAUAUAUAUACAUCAAUUACAUAAAGAGUAAACAUGUUACCACUGCAAGGAAACCGUGCUCUCAUUUUUGUGUGUGGUCAUCGUCACUGCUGCUCUCUUCAACCCACUCCAAGAUGCCAGUGACAUCAAGGGAAGAUGUUAAACAUCAUUCCCCUGUUUUCUCUCUGCAUCAAUGAAGUGGCAUACGUUAGUCCCAUCAUGUUGUCCUGACUGAUAAAAUAUUUGAAUGCAAUAUACAAUAAGUGUGAUGGGUUUCUGAAAUAUAUGUGACAUAUUGACAAAACCCUCGUUAAUUAUUCCCUCACUAACUAGGGGAUAAUUUAGCUAGGAUUAUAUCCAUGUGAAUACGACAACCUGAGUACAAACGAUCUGAUUGUUUUUGCAUCCCAAAAAAACCACAAAUCCUAUGAUUUCAUCCAAAAACAGUCCAUAAUAUUCAUUUAAAGAACUUAAUUAUAAACAAAGGAGAUCCAUAUGAUUUUACAAUGAAGCGAAAUUUGACAAAAUAAUUCAUCAAUUUACACGAGUAAACAUGUUACCAUUGCAGCACCUGAAAGUUAAAGUAUCACAAGACGCCUUACUAGCUCCGCUGUUGUCCAUUUUGCCAGUUGAUUCUUCCAGCUAUUCAAUAUUCCGGCCUUCCAAUCUAUUGAUGGUCUGGUCGACUCAAUUAGUAAAUAAAAGCCUGGCAUUAAUUAUGACACUGCAGAAUGUGGCAGGUCUUGUAUCUCUGGUUUGUUCAUCUUGUUAUAUAUAUACAGGUAGAAAACACUCGAUAGCUGACAAAACAUUCCCUGGAUGAAGUUCACUUAAAGUCCCCUUUUUCCCAGUUUGUAUGAAACUCCAACUGAUUAGGGUUUGUACUGAUAUAUGCAAUAAUGUACAUGAUCAUGCAACUAUGGUUCAGAGUUGUUACCAAGAAAAUUUCUAACAUACGAUGGCCUGCUCCAACCAUCCACCAUCAAAAUUAGGAUAAAGGCGUAUCAUCAAUUUCUCUGCGGCAUCUUCCACCAAAACAGUUCAUGAAUCAGGCAGUCGCCCCUGUAGUGGACGAUCCUGAAGAAUCCAAAUAAAGGUACUUUAAUAGAUUUUCUAUCAAAGUAGCAUGUCAUCAUACAUAUAGAAAUUAGAAAACGUACCUUUUUGUCCAGCUACAACUUUAGAUAUUCAACUGAUUGCUCAUAAAAUCCACAAUGGUAGAGAAGAAUGCUGUAAUCUCUUAAUUCCUUCAGAUCAGGUUCUAGGAGAAUAAGAUGUCCACAAGCUGUGACAAAGUAGCCGUAACAGAUGCAAACUGAAAACCACUGAGAAAAUACAAGGUAUCCUUAUAUAUAUGCACUUAUCUUAGAUUAGUUUAUGUAGAAGCUACAUUCAUUUUGGACGAAAUACCUGCCCUCAUUUAUGUUUUAUCUAUCAGUAAAGUUAGCAGCAUGUGCUGCCCUCAAUAACAAAUUCCCUGGUUGAUCAUGCUGAAAUGACCAGAAUAAGUUACUUUCAAAAUGUGAGGACCUAUAAAUAAUCUUGAAUGUAACAUAGAUCCAUCAAUUAAAUGGCAAAGGAAUACCUAAACUACAAGAAUAAUCAAUUAACAAUAUACCACAGCCGAUAUGAUUCUCUUAAAUGGAACAUCUGGAUGAUGGAUUUGAAAGUGCCAAGGGCUUAAGGCUAAAUUAGUUAAAACUCACUACAAAAGAUUAGAUAGAGGCAUAUGAAAGACUAGAUGCAAUGUAUCGAGAGGGAUUUGUAAAUGACUGCUUAUGUUGUAAUGAUCACCUAGUGCAUUUCAAAUAUCUAUAUCUAAUAUUUUGUAGUUGAUUUCUAACUAGCUUAUCCUAAAUUCCUCAGUUCUUUCAAAUCCCUCAUCCAAACACAGGGUGAGAAAACUAGGAGUUUUAGCAAACACAACUCAUUGACAUAGGGUAAUACAAAUUUAGGGAAGAAAAAAAAAAAGAUGUCGACAUGGUAACGUAAAUCACCUCCACUAAAAUGGCUUGCGAAAUCAUUAUGUGUGCAUUAUCAGAUUCCUUGGUUUUCUGUUUAUUAUAACCUCUGGGAAGACUAUGAAGAAUAUCUCCGCAUCGAAAUCCAAAAAGCCCCAUAAGAGAAGCAUUUUCAAAAUUUCCAAGUAUAUGAGCAAAAGAAUUGCAGGUGAUCUUGAACAAUGUGUCAAAACCUGUUUGCAACGUCUACAUUAAACUCCUGAAAACAAUGCCUGUAUUGUAGUGUUCUCACAGAACAACCUUGAAAUAACAAAUAAGUAAGGCAGACUUUCAUACCAGGCAGACUUUCAUACCGAGCAGAGAUAUAGAGCUCAUGGUUCAGAGUGAUGCCUUGCAUUGGUCCUUCGGAAACCGUGAAAUAAAAUUAGAAAAGAAAUCUUGUGACUUAUUUCUCUUUUCUUAAUUUAUUCAUAUUUGUCCAGCCAAUCAAAGUGGUAACAAGUUAGAACCUUGAUUCUAAGUUCCAAAUGAAGAAUAAAAGUCCUUCAUAAGAAUUAGAAACAAAGAGAAGAAUUCAGAGAGUUUUAAAAUCAAAGUGAGGUGUUGAAAAUCAAAGUGACGUAUUGACAUAUUGACAAAACCUCAUUAGUACAUGCGUUAGUCCCAUCAUGGAUUUCUGUAAAUACACGCUAGAUAUUGACAAAACCCUCAUUAAUUAUUUCCUCACUAACAAGGUGAUAAUUUUGCCAGGAUCAUAUAUCCAUGAAUACGACAACUUGAGUACAAACGAUUUGAUUAUUUUUGCAUCCCAAAUACCACAUAUCCUAUGAUUUCAUCCAAAAACAGUUGAGAAUAUUCAUCUAAAGAACUUAGUUAUGAACAGAGGAGAUCCACAUGAUUUUACAAUGAAGUAAAAUUUGACAAAAUAAUUCAUGAUUUACAUAAGAGUAAACAUCUUACCAGUACCACUGCAGCACUUGAAAGUUAAAGUAUCACAAGCAGAUAAUAGGUGCCUUACUAGCUCCGCUUUUGUCCAUGUGCCGGUUGACUCUUCCAACCAUCCAAUAUUCCGGCUUUCCAAUCCAUUGAUAAUGUGGUCGAAUCAACUAGUAUAUAAAAGUAUGGCAUUAAUAUGAAAAUGCAGAAUGUGGCAGGACUUAUAUCUCUGGUUUUAUUAAUCUUGUUAUAUACAGGUAGAAAACACUGGAUAUCUGGCAAAACAUUUCCAGGAUGAAGUUCACUUAAAGUCCCAUUUUUCCCAGUUUGCAUGAAAUUCCUACUAAGUAGGUUUGUACUGCUAUAAGCAAUAAUGUACAUGAUCACACAACUGAGGUAGAGUUGUUACCAAGAAAAUUUCUUACAUACGACAGCCUGGUCCAACCAUCCUCCAUCAAAAUUAGGUUAAGGCGUAUCAUCAAUUUCUCUGUGGCAUCUUCCACCAAAACAGCUAAUGAAUCAGACAGUCGCCUCCUUAGUGGACGAUCCUGAAGAACCCAAAUAAAGGUACUUUAUUAGAUUUGAUAUCAAAGUCGGAUGUCAUCUUACAUAUAGAAUUAGAAAACUUACCUUUUUGUCCUGCUACAACUUUAGAUAUUCUGAUUGCUAAUAAAGUCCACAAUGGUAGAGAAGAAUGAUGUAAACUCUUAAUUCCUUCGGAUCAGCUUCUAGGAGAAUAAGAUGUUCACAAGCUGUGACAAAGUAGCCUUAGCAGAUGCAAGCUGAACGCCAGUGGAAAAAUACCAAGUAUCCUUAUAUAUAUGCACUUAAGUUGGAUUAGUUUUAAGUAGAAACUACAUUCACUUGGGACAAUGUACCUGUCUUCAUUUAUACUUGAUCUAUCAAUAAAGAGGUCACACUUGGUGCGAUGGCAAGUGCCUUCGCCCAUGAGCGGUAGGUCUCGGGUUCGAGACUUGAGAGCAGCCUCUCCAUAAAUGGGGGUAAGGCUAGCCGACAUUCACCUCUCCCAGACCCUGCGUAAAGCGGGAGCCUUGUGCACUGGGUACGACGACCUUAUCAAUAAAGUUAGCAGCACGUGCUGCCCUCAAGAACAAAUUCCCUGGUUCAUCAUGCUGAAAUGGGCAAGAAUGCACCCUUCAAAUUUUUUUAGAUCUGUACAAUCAGUAAACUCUUGGGAGCAGCCUCUCCAUAAAUGGGGGUAAGGCUAGCCGACAUUCACCUCCCAGACCCUGCGUAAAGCGGGAGCCUUGUGCACUGGGUACGACCUUUUUUUGUACAAUCAGUAAACUAUGAGGCCAGAUGUACCUAAGGUUAAAGCCUUGUACACAUGUCCGAAGAUCAAAUAUGCAUGUAAAUAAAAUUAUAUAAAGACAAUGUCACACACAAACAAAUGUACACAAAUAUAUAUUUAAACUAUACUUUGACUCACUUUGAGCACAAAACCCAUGCUUACAACUGCUCAAUUGAAAUCUACUGGUUGACAUCUACAUCCUAGCGCAUAGAACAUUUCUUUUUUGAAAACUUAUUAGUUGUUGGAUGAAGGCUGGUGAACAAAAGCUUUUCUACUCAUUGGUGAAUUGUAAAUCAUGAUUAGGAGGACCUGUAGAUAUGGUACCAACUCAGGUCCAUAUCCACAAUAUCUGACAACAUAUAUGGUACCAACUUAUAGGCAGGUUCAUAAUAUUCUGACUAAAGAUAAAUUAGAAACAAUGCUGAACGAAAAGGUUGUUCACUCUUCAACUAAAUGACAAAGGAAUACCUAAAUUACAAGAGUAAUCAAUUAACAAUAUACCACAGGCAAUAUGAUACUCUUAAAUGGAACGUCUGGAUGAAGGAUUUGAAAGUGCCAAGCGCGGGCUUAAGGCUUAAUUAGUUAAAAUUCACUACAAAAGAUUAGAUGGAAGGAUAUGAAAGACUAAAUGCAAUGGAUCGAGAGGGAUUUGUAAAUGACUGCUUGAAAGGAGACAUUUAUAAAUGCUUUUUUAUGUGUGUAAUGAUCAUGUAGUGCAUUUCAAAUAUCUAUAUCUAAUGUUUUGAUUUUUAACUAAAUGCAAUGCAUCGAGAGGGAUUUGUAGUUGAUUUUUAACUAAUGUACCUAAAUUUCUGGUUACUUUCAAAUCGCUCAUCCAAACACCGGGUGAGAGAACUAGGAAUUCUAGCAUACACAACUCACUGACAUAGGACAAUGCAAACCAAGGCAAAAAAAACAGAUCUGUCGACAUGAUAACAUUAAGUCACCUCAUCUCCACUAAAACGGCUUGCAAAGUCAUUAUGCGUGCAUUAUCAGAUUCCUUGCUUUUCUGUUUAUGGUAACCUCCGGGAAGACUAUGAAGACCGUGACCAAACAAUAUAUCCGCAUCGAAAAAUCCAAAAAGCACCAUAAGCUAAGCAUUUUUAAAAAUUCUGAAUAUAUGAGCACACGAAUUGCACGUGAUCCUGAACAGUGUGUCAAAACCUGUUUGCAAUGUCUACAUUAAACUCCAGAAAACAAUGCCCGUAUUGUAGGGUUCUGAUAGAACAACCUUGAAAUAACAAACGAGUCAGGCAGACUUCCAUACCGAGUGGAGAUAUAGAGCUCAUGGUUCAGAGUGAAGCCUUGCAUUGGUCCUUCAGAAACCCUGAAAUAAAGCUAAAAAAGGAAUCUUGUGACUUAAUGCUCUUUUCUUAAUUUAUUCAUAUUUGUCCAGCCAAUCAGAGUGGUAACUGGUAACCAGUUAGAACAUUGAUUCUAAGUUCCAAAUGCAGAAUAUCAAAGUCCUUUAUAUGAAUUAGAAACAAAGAGAAGAAUUCAGAGAGUUUUACCUUCACUGCUUUUCUCCAUCAAAUUGGGAAAAUCUUGAAUGUCCAUGUCAACUUGAGCUCAAUUCUUUUUCAUACGUCAUCUAGAAAAGAUAGUCCUGAUUCAAAGAUGCAGAAUUAUGAUUUAUAAAGUGAUCUUAAUUAAUUGUGCAAGUUUGACAAUCUGGACCAUUUCCUUAUGUUCUGAUUCAUGAAUAUAAUCCAUCAAUAAUGAUCAUGAAACAAGAACAGAAAAGGAAACGUAAGUUACACUCCGGUAUUCAACAACUUACGGUGAACUUUGUAAGUGCCGCAUCCAGCCAAAUUCACACGUUGUGUUUGUACAGAAACAUAUCAGCACCUAUUUAAAAAUGACAGAUGCGCUGAAAGAUGAGUAAGCAUUCCAACGUACUCAAACCACAACAUUAGGAGGAAAGAGAAACAUCAAGGAGUUACCUCGUCCCGUGCAGGAGAAUCAUAAUCGUGACCUAGCUAGCCAGAGCACCCAAUAACUUACUUGGUAUUGUAAGAAGUAGUUUAUGUAAGCAAACACUCGUUGCUCUUAGAUGAUAUUGUCCUGAAAUUUAAUUGAUUGAUUAAUUAAACACAGUAUAGCUGACAGUAAACAAUUGAAUGGGGUGUAUUCAAUUGAGAUUUUGAGGGAUUUUAAUUCUUUUAAUGAAUCUAGGGUAUUUAAUAAAGAUUUUAAAUGAUUCUCUGAAAUUCAAGGUGUAUUCAAUUAUAAUUUUAAGAUAGUUUAUUAAAAUCCUUAGAAAUCUAAAUAUAUUCAAUUAAGAUUUUAAAGAAGUUUAUAACAUUCAAGUGUAUUCAAUUAGAAAUUGAUUUUAAAGAAUUUGAGAAAGUUGAGGAAUUGGAGAGAAUUGGAGAGAUUUCGUAGUGUGUUUUAAGCAUCCACAAAUUUCACCUCUCCACAUGAGAUUUCGAGGGAAUUGAAUCAAAAUUUUAUAUGGAAUCUCUACAAAUCAAUUGAAUUCCAUAAAAAUCUAUGGAUUUAUAAAUCCAUUAAAAUCUCUCAAAUUAAUCUCAUGUGGAAUUAAAUCAAAAUUUUAUAUGGAAUCUCUACAAAUCAAUUGAAUUCCAUAAAAAUCUAUAGAUUUAUAAAUCCAUUAAAAUCUCUCAAAUUCUCAAUUGAAUACAACUUCGAAUUUCAAAGUGAAACUUUUAGAAAAUCUGAAUCUUCCACGAAAAAUGGUGCUAUGUACGUACCUGACUUUGAGUUGAGAUCUCAAAUGAUGACUUGGUCGCCUAUCUCGAUGCAAGGAAUGUGAGCUGUCUUGCUCCACUCUUCUCCCGUCUUCUCCUGACACCUAGGGGUGGGUUCAAAAAACCGAAAACC
This 21129-nucleotide long non-coding RNA is filed under the name Malus domestica (apple). RNAcentral describes it as "long non-coding RNA (MDOM_LNC002198)". The record is from RNAcentral. Lineage: Eukaryota; Viridiplantae; Streptophyta; Magnoliopsida; Rosales; Rosaceae.